GACGAACGUUGGCGGCGUGCUUAAUACAUGCAAGUCAACUGAAGCAGUGGUAGCAAUAUCGCUGUGGAGGUGGCGCACGGGGGAGUAACACGUAGGUAAUCUGCCUUCAGGUCUGGCAUAACUCCGGGAAACCGGGGCUAAUAGCAGAUGAUGCAGCGGCUCGACAUCGAGACAGUUGUUAAAGCUAUGGCGCCUGAAGAUGAGCCUGCGUCUGAUUAGCUAGUUGGCGGGGUAACGGCCCACCAAGGCAACGAUCAGGAGCUGGUCUGAGAGGAUGACUAGCCACACGGGAACUGAGACACGGUCCAGACUCCUACGGGGGGCAGCAGUGAGGAAUACUGCUCAAUGGGAGACAUCCUGGAGCGGCAACGCCGCGUGAGGGACGAAGGGCUUUUGCUUGUAAACCUCUGUAGUGAGAGAAAAAAAUCCCAAUCUUUGGGACAUGAUGGUAUCUCAAAAGUAAGCCCCGGCUAACUACGUG
This 481-nucleotide ribosomal RNA is filed under the name uncultured bacterium. Its description in RNAcentral is "partial 16S ribosomal RNA". It matches the Rfam family "Bacterial small subunit ribosomal RNA", at positions 28 to 507 of the family's 1533-position model. The record is from RNAcentral.